RNAcentral lists this ribosomal RNA (500 nucleotides) under uncultured bacterium. RNAcentral's name for it is "partial 16S ribosomal RNA". It matches the Rfam family "Bacterial small subunit ribosomal RNA", at positions 28 to 507 of the family's 1533-position model. The record is from RNAcentral.
GACGAACGCUGGCGGCGUGCCUAAUACAUGCAAGUCGAGCGGACUGAUUAAGAGCUUGCUCUUAUGACGUUAGCGGCGGACGGGUGAGUAACACGUGGGCAACCUGCCCUGUAGAUCGGGAUAACACCGAGAAAUCGGUGCUAAUACCGGGUAAUAUCUGAGAUCACAUGAUCUUAGGUUAAAAGAUGGCUCCGGCUAUCACUACAGGAUGGGCCCGCGGCGCAUUAGCUAGUUGGUAAGGUAAUGGCUUACCAAGGCGACGAUGCGUAGCCGACCUGAGGGGGUGAUCGGCCACACUGGGACUGAGACACGGCCCAGACUCCUACGGGAGGCAGCAGUAGGGAAUCUUCCGCAAUGGACGAAAGUCUGACGGAGCAACGCCGCGUGAGUGAUGAAGGGUUUCGGCUCGUAAAGCUCUGUUGUUAGGGAAGAAACAGUACCGAACGAACUAGGUCGGUACCUUGACGGUACCUAACCAGAAAGCCACGGCUAACUACGUG